GACGGAGGGUGCAAGCGUUGCUCGGAAUCAUUGGGCGUAAAGGGUGCGUAGGCGGCCGGACAAGUCUGCCGUGAAAGCCCAGGGCUUAGCCUUGGAAGGGCGGUAGAAACUGUCGGGCUUGAGUGCCGGAGGGGAGAGUGGAAUUCCCGGUGUAGCGGUGAAAUGCGUAGAUAUCGGGAGGAAUACCGGUGGCGAAAGCGACUCUCUGGACGGUGACUGACGCUGAGGCACGAAAGCGUGGGGAGCAAACAGG
This 253-nucleotide ribosomal RNA is filed under the name uncultured bacterium. RNAcentral's name for it is "partial 16S ribosomal RNA". It matches the Rfam family "Bacterial small subunit ribosomal RNA", at positions 524 to 776 of the family's 1533-position model. The record is from RNAcentral.